GGACAUCCAGCGAGUUGCUCUCCUGGCUCUGUCCUGGUGGCGUAUGGGAGCGUAGCUCUGAGCCAAGACGUACAGUCCCGUUCCAN
Molecule: small nucleolar RNA, 86 nt
Organism: Stegastes partitus (bicolor damselfish)
Lineage: Eukaryota; Metazoa; Chordata; Actinopteri; Pomacentridae
Gene: SNORA73
Rfam family: Small nucleolar RNA SNORA73 family
About the family: U17 (SNORA73A and SNORA73B) also known as E1 belongs to the H/ACA class of small nucleolar RNAs (snoRNAs). Vertebrate U17 is intron-encoded and ranges in length from 200-230 nucleotides, longer than most snoRNAs.
Source: Ensembl